GAUGAACGCUGGCGGCGUGCCUAAUACAUGCAAGUCGAGCGAACAGAUAAGGAGCUUGCUCCUUUGACGUUAGCAGCGGACGGGUGAGUAACACGUGGGUAACCUACCUAUAAGACUGGGAUAACUUCGGGAAACCGGAGCUAAUACCGGAUAAUAUUUCGAACCGCAUGGUUCGAUAGUGAAAGAUGGUUUUGCUAUCACUUAUAGAUGGACCCGCGCCGUAUUAGCUAGUUGGUAAGGUAACGGCUUACUAAGGCGACGAUGCGUAGCCGACCUGAGAGGGUGAUCGGCCACACUGGAACUGAGACACGGUCCAGACUCCUACGGGAGGCAGCAGUAGGGAAUCUUCCGCAAUGGGCGAAAGCCUGACGGAGCAACGCCGCGUGAGUGAUGAAGGUCUUCGGAUCGUAAAACUCUGUUAUUAGGGAAGAACAUACGUGUAAGUAACUGUGCACGUCUUGACGGUACCUAAUCAGAAAGCCACGGCUAACUACGUG
Molecule: ribosomal RNA, 497 nt
Filed under: uncultured bacterium
Lineage: Bacteria
Description: partial 16S ribosomal RNA
Rfam family: Bacterial small subunit ribosomal RNA
Source: RNAcentral